Molecule: long non-coding RNA, 355 nt
Organism: Hibiscus syriacus
Lineage: Eukaryota; Viridiplantae; Streptophyta; Magnoliopsida; Malvales; Malvaceae
Exons: 4
Source: RefSeq, a predicted model, not a curated record
UUGCACAAUUAGGAAAAAAAAUUGUUGGGAUACAAUGGUUGAGCAGGCACUUAAAACAGUUGGGAUUAACAGCCAACAUUCUUUUCAGCUAGUUCUCGUCUAAAGAUUCAGUGUCUUGUGUUUCUGGUUCGGGGAAAACGUCAUUCGACAACCUUUUAUGUGACUACAAGUGUUCAAUUCCCUCACUGCCAUGAGAACCUACUCUACCUGACUGCCAAAAACCACUAAAACCCUCUCUGUUUUGGUGGCCUGGAACGGUGGCACUUUCUGAUGAGCUCUUUCACCAACUACCAAAGUAGGCAGAACCCCAAGACCGCCUAGAUGAUGUUGUUCGUAGCCUCCCAGAGCUGAAACU